RNAcentral lists this ribosomal RNA (425 nucleotides) under uncultured bacterium. RNAcentral describes it as "partial 16S ribosomal RNA". It matches the Rfam family "Bacterial small subunit ribosomal RNA", at positions 354 to 796 of the family's 1533-position model. The record is from RNAcentral.
GUGGGGAAUCUUAGACAAUGGGCGCAAGCCUGAUCUAGCCAUGCCGCGUGAGCGAUGAAGGCCUUAGGGUUGUAAAGCUCUUUCGCUGGGGAAGAUAAUGACUGUACCCAGUAAAGAAGCCCCGGCUAACUCCGUGCCAGCAGCCGCGGUAAUACGGAGGGGGCUAGCGUUGUUCGGAAUUACUGGGCGUAAAGCGCGCGUAGGCGGAUUGGAAAGUUGGGGGUGAAAUCCCGGGGCUCAACCUCGGAACUGCCUUCAAAACUCCCAGUCUUGAGUUCGAGAGAGGUGAGUGGAAUUCCGAGUGUAGAGGUGAAAUUCGUAGAUAUUCGGAGGAACACCAGUGGCGAAGGCGGCUCACUGGCUCGAUACUGACGCUGAGGUGCGAAAGCGUGGGGAGCAAACAGGAUUAGAUACCCUAGUAGUCC